RNAcentral lists this transfer RNA (70 nucleotides) under Odorrana livida (green cascade frog). RNAcentral's name for it is "tRNA-Phe". The record is from RNAcentral. Lineage: Eukaryota; Metazoa; Chordata; Amphibia; Anura; Ranidae.
ACCUUAUAGCUUAACCCAUAAAGCAUGGCACUGAAAAUGCCAAAAUGAGCCCUGAAAAGCUCUGAGAGUA